GUAUUUAUUCAUAUAUAGGCUGCAAUAGCCUUGUAUAACGUUCUUUAACAUACAUUGGUGUAUUUGUAUUAAUCAUAGGACCUGAAGGGUCAGAAAAAGCCGUUAUUUCAACAGCAGUUCCCAGAAAUCAAAGACAACCUUUGAUCAAUUUCUUCAGACCUAUGCAAAGUGCACUUGGUGGAAAAAUAAAAAUGACAAGUGUGCACAUGCCCAAAAAAAAUUGAGCCAGCAACAAACUCAUCAAGUUUACUCUGUAAUGAUCCUUCCGCAGGUUCACCUACGGAAA
Molecule: unclassified non-coding RNA, 286 nt
Filed under: uncultured fungus
Lineage: Eukaryota; Fungi
Description: sequence contains ITS1
Source: RNAcentral